GACAGAGGUGCCGAGCGUUAGGCGGAAUCACUGGGCUUAAAGCGUGUGUAGGCGGGUGCCUAAGUACCUUGUGAAAUCCCACGGCUCAACCGUGGAACUGCUUGGUAUACUGGGUGCCUUGAGCCACUUAGGGGCAACCGGAACAAACGGUGGAGCGGUGAAAUGCAUUGAGAUCGGAAAGAACACCAACGGCGAAAGCACUCUGCUGGGCCGACACUGACACUGAGAGACGAAAGCUAGGGGAGCAAAUGGG
This 253-nucleotide ribosomal RNA is filed under the name uncultured bacterium. Its description in RNAcentral is "partial 16S ribosomal RNA". It matches the Rfam family "Bacterial small subunit ribosomal RNA", at positions 524 to 776 of the family's 1533-position model. The record is from RNAcentral.